CACCUCCCACCCGUGUUUACUGUACCUUAGUUGCUUCGGCGGGCCCGCCAUUCAUGGCCGCCGGGGGCUCUCAGCCCCGGGCCCGCGCCCGCCGGAGACACCACGAACUCUGUCUGAUCUAGUGAAGUCUGAGUUGAUUGUAUCGCAAUCAGUUAAAACUUUCAACAAUGGAUCUCUUGGUUCCGGCAUCGAUGAAGAACGCAGCGAAAUGCGAUAACUAGUGUGAAUUGCAGAAUUCCGUGAAUCAUCGAGUCUUUGAACGCACAUUGCGCCCCCUGGUAUUCCGGGGGGCAUGCCUGUCCGAGCGUCAUUGCUGCCCAUCAAGCACGGCUUGUGUGUUGGGUCGUCGUCCCCUCUCCGGGGGGGACGGGCCCCAAAGGCAGCGGCGGCACCGCGUCCGAUCCUCGAGCGUAUGGGGCUUUGUCACCCGCUCUGUAGGCCCGGCCGGCGCUUGCCGAACGCAAAUCAAUCUUUUUCCAGGUUGACCUCGGAUCAGGUAGGGAUACCCGCUGAACUUAAGCAUAUCAAUAAGCCGGAGGAAAU
This 543-nucleotide ribosomal RNA is filed under the name Aspergillus flavus. RNAcentral describes it as "eukaryotic LSU rRNA". The stretch from base 157 to 310 matches the Rfam family "5.8S ribosomal RNA". Lineage: Eukaryota; Fungi; Ascomycota; Eurotiomycetes; Eurotiales; Aspergillaceae. The record is from RNAcentral.